ACAAACUGGCGGCAUGCCUACCAUGCAAGCCGAACUAGACCUUCGGGUCUAGUGGCGCACGGGUGCGUAACGCGUGGGGAUCUGCCCUUGGGUUCGGGAUAACAGUUGGAAACGACUGCUAAUACCGGAUGAUGACUUCGGUCCAAAGAUUUAUUGCCCAGGGAUGAGCCCGCGUAGGAUUAGCUAGUUGGUGAGGUAAAGGCUCACCAAGGCGACGAUCCUUAGCUGGUCUGAGAGGAUGAUCAGCCACACUGGGACUGAGACACGGCCCAGAUUCCUACGGGAGGCAGCAGUGGGGAAUAUUGGACAAUGGGCGAAAGCCUGAUCCAGCAAUGCCGCGUGAGUGAUGAAGGCCUUAGGGUUGUAAAGCUCUUUUACCCGGGAUGAUAAUGACAGUACCGGGAGAAUAAGCCCCGGCUAACUCCGUGCCAGCAGCCGCGGUAAU
RNAcentral lists this ribosomal RNA (445 nucleotides) under uncultured bacterium. RNAcentral describes it as "bacterial SSU rRNA". It matches the Rfam family "Bacterial small subunit ribosomal RNA", at positions 36 to 524 of the family's 1533-position model. The record is from RNAcentral.